Molecule: long non-coding RNA, 490 nt
Filed under: Mytilus galloprovincialis (Mediterranean mussel)
Lineage: Eukaryota; Metazoa; Mollusca; Bivalvia; Mytilida; Mytilidae
Source: RNAcentral
GUACAUAAAGGAAUUUACUAUUUCAGUAAAAAACAGUUUAAGAAUGACUGUAAUAUUUUUUCUGUCUAUUCAAAAUAACAUAAAAAAUGUGGUGCACACUGAAUAACCCUUGUAGCGGGUUAUUUAUAAGUGUGCACCACAUUUUUUAUGUUAUUUUGAAUAGACAGAAAAAAUAUUAGUAAUUUCUUAUAAUUUAAUUCUUAAUUAUAUUUUAAACCAGCGUAAAUUAUGAAAAAAUGUUGAUGACGUCACAGUCACAUGAAAAAAUUAUGUCUAUGAGCUGAUAAACAUAACAACAUCAGCCAAUCAGAAGAUGUGUGACAUCCAAAAAUAAAUUAUUCAUGAAGAACAAAUUUGAGUAGUCCCCCUUUAAAAACAUUUGGAGUCAUGAUUCAUUCAUCAGGCAACCAUUAAUCACAGAAAGAAUUCCAUCCAUGUUACAAAAAUACUUUACUGUUUAUACCAGAAUAUUGACUCAAAUAAAAAAAAC